This is a long non-coding RNA of Homo sapiens (human), 531 nucleotides long. RefSeq lists it as uncharacterized. The transcript is spliced from 3 exons. NCBI's taxonomy places the organism in Eukaryota, Metazoa, Chordata, Mammalia, Primates, Hominidae. The record is from RefSeq and is a predicted model, not a curated record.
AGUAUUCAAAAAUAAUCAGGGAAAAUGUCUGCAUCUAAUUUUUUAUGUUCUGUCUAGGCAGGAAUGUAUCCAUGUCUUCUACCACGGGGGCCAAGGGUGUUUCCUCUGCGGGGUUUAUCUGUCUACGGAACUGAUUUUGCAGCUUGGAGCAGGCAGGUUUCCAUCACCUUACUCAAAGUGGAGGAAACAGUGAUCUUCACUGCCUGGUUUUGAUGUGUGACUCACAGAACUCAGGAGUCAACAUCACCUGAAGGAAGAGGAUAUGGAGCAUAAACCUGUUUCAAGUUAUUCUUUUCAAAAGAACAGGGUAGAGGGCUUUGCCUGGUCCUGAGUCAGGAAAGAAGGUGAAAAACAGGCAGUGGGGAAGACCACUGCAGAGGCGAGACCCACACCACACCCCCUGCUGGAGUUUUAAGGACAGAGUCCCCUGCAUUCUUGGGCCCACAGGACCAUGGUCUCACCCCUCUCUGCAUCUCUUUGGAACCCUUCGUCUCUCAUCUUCAGAACAGUCACUGCUUUGUAGUGGGGCCU